RNAcentral lists this ribosomal RNA (115 nucleotides) under Escherichia coli H454. The record is from RNAcentral. Lineage: Bacteria; Pseudomonadati; Pseudomonadota; Gammaproteobacteria; Enterobacterales; Enterobacteriaceae.
UGGCGGCAGUAGCGCGGUGGUCCCACCUGACCCCAUGCCGAACUCAGAAGUGAAACGCCGUAGCGCCGAUGGUAGUGUGGGGUCUCCCCAUGCGAGAGUAGGGAACUGCCAGAUA